RNAcentral lists this ribosomal RNA (485 nucleotides) under uncultured bacterium. Its description in RNAcentral is "partial 16S ribosomal RNA". It matches the Rfam family "Bacterial small subunit ribosomal RNA", at positions 899 to 1397 of the family's 1533-position model. The record is from RNAcentral.
ACUCAAAUGAAUAGACGGGGCUCCGCACAAGCAGUGGAUUAUGUGGUUUAAUCCGAUGCUACGCGUAGAACCUUACCGAGGCUUGACAUCCCUGGAAUCCCCGCGAAAGUGGGGAGUGCCUUCGGGAGCCAGGUGACAGAUGCUGCAUGGCCGUCGUCAGCUCGUGUCGUGAGAUGUUGGGUUAAGUCCCGCAACGAGCGCAACCCUUGUCGUGUGUUGUAUUUUUCACGCGAGACCGCCCGGGCCAACCGGGAGGAAGGUGGGGAUGACGUCAGGUCGGCAUGGCUCUUACGCCUCGGGCCACACACGUAAUACAAUGGCCGGUACAACGGGCUGCGAAACCGCGAGGUGGAGCUAAUCCUAUCAAAACCGGUCCCAGUUCGGAUUGCAGGCUGCAACUCGCCUGCAUGAAGUUGGAAUUGCUAGUAACCGUGGGUCAGCAUACCACGGUGAAUACGUUCCCGGAGCUUGCACACACCGCCCGU